CACGUAUUUAGCCGGAGCUUCUUAGUCAGGUACCGUCAUUUCUUCCCUGCUGAUAGAGCUUUACAUACCGAAAUACUUCUUCGCUCACGCGGCGUCGCUGCAUCAGGCUUGCGCCCAUUGUGCAAUAUUCCCCACUGCUGCCUCCCGUAGGAGUUUGGGCCGUGUCUCAGUCCCAAUGUGGCCGGUCACCCUCUCAGGUCGGCUAUGGAUCGUCGGCUUGGUGAGCCGUUACCUCACCAACUACCUAAUCCAACGCGGGCCCAUCUUACACCACCGGAGUUUUUCACACAGAAACAUGCGUUCCCGUGCGCUUAUGCGGUAUUAGCAGUCAUUUCUAACUGUUGUCCCCCUGUGUAAGGCAGGUUGCCCACGCGUUACUCACCCGUCCGCCACUCAGUCAUUCCAAAAUCCACCGAAGUCUCAUUUAAAAUGCUUCGUCGACUUGCAUGUGUUAAGCACGCCGCCAGCGUUCAUCCUGAGCCAGGAUCAAACUCU
Molecule: ribosomal RNA, 495 nt
Filed under: uncultured Eubacteriales bacterium
Lineage: Bacteria; Bacillati; Bacillota; Clostridia; Eubacteriales
Description: uncultured Clostridiales bacterium partial 16S ribosomal RNA
Source: RNAcentral